This 253-nucleotide ribosomal RNA is filed under the name uncultured bacterium. RNAcentral describes it as "partial 16S ribosomal RNA". It matches the Rfam family "Bacterial small subunit ribosomal RNA", at positions 524 to 776 of the family's 1533-position model. The record is from RNAcentral.
UACGGGGGGGGCAAGCGUUGUUCGGAAUUACUGGGCGUAAAGCGCACGUAGGCGGCUUUCUAAGUCAGGGGUGAAAUCCUGGAGCUCAACUCCAGAACUGCCUUUGAUACUGGAGAGCUUGAGUCCGGAAGAGGUGAGUGGAACUCCGAGUGUAGAGGUGAAAUUCGUAGAUAUUCGGAAGAACACCAGUGGCGAAGGCGGCUCACUGGCCCGGUACUGACGCUGAGGUGCGAAAGCGUGGGGAGCGAACCGG